GAUGAACGCUGGCGGCGUGCCUAAUACAUGCAAGUCGAGCGAACCACUUCGGCGGUGAGCGGCGAACGGGUGAGUAACACGUAGGUGAUCUGCCCAUCAGACGGGGACAACGAUUGGAAACGAUCGCUAAUACCGGAUAGGACGAAAGUUUAAAGGUGCUUCCGGCACCGCUGAUGGAUGAGCCUGCGGCGCAUUAGCUAGUUGGUAGGGUAAAGGCCUACCAAGGCGACGAUGCGUAGCCGACCUGAGAGGGUGAACGGCCACACUGGGACUGAGACACGGCCCAGACUCCUACGGGAGGCAGCAGUAGGGAAUCUUCGGCAAUGGGCGAAAGCCUGACCGAGCAACGCCGCGUGAAUGAUGAAGGCCUUCGGGUUGUAAAAUUCUGUUAUAAGGGAAGAACGACUUUAGUAGGAAAUGGCUAGAGUGUGACGGUACCUUAUGAGAAAGCCACGGCUAACUACGUGCCAGCCGCCGCUGUAA
This 483-nucleotide ribosomal RNA is filed under the name uncultured bacterium. RNAcentral describes it as "partial 16S ribosomal RNA". It matches the Rfam family "Bacterial small subunit ribosomal RNA", at positions 28 to 523 of the family's 1533-position model. The record is from RNAcentral.